UCUUCCAUAAUAUAGUGGCCAGUAUGUGAGCUUGUCACCUAACAACGCUCGAGACCCGGGUUCAAUUCCUGGUGGGAGAG
This 80-nucleotide transfer RNA is filed under the name Podospora comata. It matches the Rfam family "tRNA". Rfam says of the family: Transfer RNA (tRNA) molecules are approximately 80 nucleotides in length. Lineage: Eukaryota; Fungi; Ascomycota; Sordariomycetes; Sordariales; Podosporaceae. The record is from RNAcentral.